RNAcentral lists this ribosomal RNA (1851 nucleotides) under Shigella flexneri. RNAcentral describes it as "partial 23S ribosomal RNA". It matches the Rfam family "Bacterial large subunit ribosomal RNA", at positions 1 to 1868 of the family's 2925-position model. The record is from RNAcentral. Lineage: Bacteria; Pseudomonadati; Pseudomonadota; Gammaproteobacteria; Enterobacterales; Enterobacteriaceae.
GGGUUGUGAGGUUAAGCGACUAAGCGUACACGGUGGAUGCCCUGGCAGUCAGAGGCGAUGAAGGACGUGCUAAUCUGCGAUAAGCGUCGGUAAGGUGAUAUGAACCAUUAUAACCGGCGAUUUCCGAAUGGGGAAACCCAGUGUGAUUCGUCACACUAUCAUUAACUGAAUCCAUAGGUUAAUGAGGCGAACCGGGGGAACUGAAACAUCUAAGUACCCCGAGGAAAAGAAAUCAACCGAGAUUCCCCCAGUAGCGGCGAGCGAACGGGGAGCAGCCCAGAGCCUGAAUCAGUGUGUGUGUUAGUGGAAGCGUCUGGAAAGGCGUGCGAUACAGGGUGACAGCCCCGUACACAAAAAUGCACAUAUUGUGAGCUCGAUGAGUAGGGCGGGACACGUGGUAUCCUGUCUGAAUAUGGGGGGACCAUCCUCCAAGGCUAAAUACUCCUGACUGACCGAUAGUGAACCAGUACCGUGAGGGAAAGGCGAAAAGAACCCCGGCGAGGGGAGUGAAAAAGAACCUGAAACCGUGUACGUACAAGCAGUGGGAGCACGCUUAGGCGUGUGACUGCGUACCUUUUGUAUAAUGGGUCAGCGACUUAUAUUCUGUAGCAAGGUUAACCGAAUAGGGGAGCCGAAGGGAAACCGAGUCUUAACUGGGCGUUAAGUUGCAGGGUAUAGACCCGAAACCCGGUGAUCUAGCCAUGGGCAGGUUGAAGGUUGGGUAACACUAACUGGAGGACCGAACCGACUAAUGUUGAAAAAUUAGCGGAUGACUUGUGGCUGGGGGUGAAAGGCCAAUCAAACCGGGAGAUAGCUGGUUCUCCCCGAAAGCUAUUUAGGUAGCGCCUCGUGAAUUCAUCUCCGGGGGUAGAGCACUGUUUCGGCAAGGGGGUCAUCCCGACUUACCAACCCGAUGCAAACUGCGAAUACCGGAGAAUGUUAUCACGGGAGACACACGGCGGGUGCUAACGUCCGUCGUGAAGAGGGAAACAACCCAGACCGCCAGCUAAGGUCCCAAAGUCAUGGUUAAGUGGGAAACGAUGUGGGAAGGCCCAGACAGCCAGGAUGUUGGCUUAGAAGCAGCCAUCAUUUAAAGAAAGCGUAAUAGCUCACUGGUCGAGUCGGCCUGCGCGGAAGAUGUAACGGGGCUAAACCAUGCACCGAAGCUGCGGCAGCGACGCUGAUGCGUUGUUGGGUAGGGGAGCGUUCUGUAAGCCUGUGAAGGUGUGCUGUGAGGUAUGCUGGAGGUAUCAGAAGUGCGAAUGCUGACAUAAGUAACGAUAAAGCGGGUGAAAAGCCCGCUCGCCGGAAGACCAAGGGUUCCUGUCCAACGUUAAUCGGGGCAGGGUGAGUCGACCCCUAAGGCGAGGCCGAAAGGCGUAGUCGAUGGGAAACAGGUUAAUAUUCCUGUACUUGGUGUUACUGCGAAGGGGGGACGGAGAAGGCUAUGUUGGCCGGGCGACGGUUGUCCCGGUUUAAGCGUGUAGGCUGGUUUUCCAGGCAAAUCCGGAAAACUAAGGCUGAGGCGUGAUGACGAGGCACUACGGUGCUGAAGCAACAAAUGCCCUGCUUCCAGGAAAAGCCUCUAAGCAUCAGGUAACAUCAAAUCGUACCCCAAACCGACACAGGUGGUCAGGUAGAGAAUACCAAGGCGCUUGAGAGAACUCGGGUGAAGGAACUAGGCAAAAUGGUGCCGUAACUUCGGGAGAAGGCACGCUGAUAUGUAGGUGAAGUCCCUCGCGGAUGGAGCUGAAAUCAGUCGAAGAUACCAGCUGGCUGCAACUGUUUAUUAAAAACACAGCACUGUGCAAACACGAAAGUGGACGUAUACGGUGUGACGCCUGCCCGGUG